Molecule: non-coding RNA, 77 nt
Organism: Podarcis lilfordi (Lilford's wall lizard)
Lineage: Eukaryota; Metazoa; Chordata; Lepidosauria; Squamata; Lacertidae
Source: the annotation of a GenBank genome assembly
GGGGAUGGCCAUAGUUCUGUGGUAGAGCAUCUGCUUUGCAUGCAAAAGAACCCAGGUUUCAAUCACUGGCAUCCGCA